This 493-nucleotide ribosomal RNA is filed under the name uncultured bacterium. Its description in RNAcentral is "partial 16S ribosomal RNA". It matches the Rfam family "Bacterial small subunit ribosomal RNA", at positions 28 to 507 of the family's 1533-position model. The record is from RNAcentral.
GACGAACGCUGGCGGCGUGCUUAACACAUGCAAGUCGAACGGUGAAGGGACCGGUUUUUGCUGGUUCUGGAUGAGUGGCGCACGGGUGAGUAACACGUGAGUAACCUGCCCCCUUCUUCUGGAUAACCGCAUGAAAGUGUGGCUAAUACGGGAUAUUCUGCGCCUGCUGCAUGGUGGGUGUGGGAAAGAUAUUGUUUCGGUGGGGGAUGGGCUCGCGGCCUAUCAGCUUGUUGGUGGGGUGAUGGCCUACCAAGGCGGUGACUGGUAGCCGGCCUGAGAGGGUGGACGGUCACACUGGGACUGAGACACGGCCCAGACUCCUACGGGAGGCAGCAGUGGGGAAUAGUGCACAAUGGGCGCAAGCCUGAUGCAGCGACGCCGCGUGAGGGAUGGAGGCCUUCGGGUUGUAAACCUCUUUCGCCAGUGAAGCAGGCCUGUCCCUUUUGUGGGUGGGUUGACGGUAGCUGGAGAAGAAGCGCCGGCUAACUACGUG